CCCUUAGAUGUUCUGGGCCGCACGCGCGCUACACUGACGGAGUCAACGAGUUGUCCUGCAUCGGAAGGCGUGGGUAAUCUUUUGAAACUUCGUCGUGCUGGGGAUAGAUCUUUGCAAUUUUCGAUCUUGAACGAGGAAUUCCUAGUAAGCGUGAUUCAUCAGAUCGCGUUGAUUACGUCCCUGCCCUUUGUACACACCGCCCGUCGCUACUACCGAUUGAAUGGUUUAGUGAGGCCUCGGGACUGGCGCGCUCGAGUAGCAAUACACCUGCGCGCUGGGAACUUGGUCAAACUUGAUCAUUUAGAGGAAGUAAAAGUCGUAACA
This 324-nucleotide ribosomal RNA is filed under the name uncultured eukaryote. Its description in RNAcentral is "partial 18S ribosomal RNA". It matches the Rfam family "Eukaryotic small subunit ribosomal RNA", at positions 1470 to 1796 of the family's 1831-position model. The record is from RNAcentral.